AUUAUUCCUGAUACCACACCUGACCCCCAUGACUGUAUCUCUCUGAUACACCUGACAUUCACCCCAUUUCUCCAUAUUUCCUUCUCUCCUGUUCCUCACCCUGAUCACACUUGGUUUAUUGAUGGCAGUUCCACAGGCCUAAUCGCCACACACCAGCAAAGGCAGGCUAUGCUAUAGUAUCUUCCACAUCUAUCAUUGAGCCUACCACUCUGCCCCCCUCCACUACCUCUCAGCAAACCGA
Molecule: long non-coding RNA, 241 nt
Filed under: Homo sapiens (human)
Lineage: Eukaryota; Metazoa; Chordata; Mammalia; Primates; Hominidae
Description: HSALNT0343722
Source: RNAcentral